AGCGGUCACCACGGAGUGAUUCAUGACUGGGGUGAAGUCGUAACAAGGUAGCCCUAGGGGAACCUGGGGCUGGAUCACCUCCUUAAACGAA
This 91-nucleotide ribosomal RNA is filed under the name Endozoicomonas sp. OPT23. Its description in RNAcentral is "partial 16S ribosomal RNA". It matches the Rfam family "Bacterial small subunit ribosomal RNA", at positions 1449 to 1533 of the family's 1533-position model. The record is from RNAcentral. Lineage: Bacteria; Pseudomonadati; Pseudomonadota; Gammaproteobacteria; Oceanospirillales; Endozoicomonadaceae.